Molecule: long non-coding RNA, 517 nt
Organism: Onychostoma macrolepis
Lineage: Eukaryota; Metazoa; Chordata; Actinopteri; Cypriniformes; Cyprinidae
Exons: 3
Source: RefSeq, a predicted model, not a curated record
UCUGCCGGGGCCGUCCCUUCGCGCGCGGAUAUAACGGGGAUAUAACGCACUGCAGGCAGGCCUAUAAUAUAUAUAUGCACACGAUUUGAGGAAACUCCUAAGUCAGAAAUAGACUUUUGUGCAGAAAAAGCGAGAGUUCUAUGCUGAGAUGACAUCAUUUUUCUUGCAUGUUUCUGAGAACAGAAAGGGACCAUGAACACUCUUCUUCAGUCCUUGUCCCGAAUGCAGAAAGGAUGCAUGGGGGAAAUACAACAGCUGUGGGAGAGAACAUCUCAGAGAAGGCUUUCAAGGGAAGGAUGAGCAGAUGAUGAACUUGGGGAAAUUUGCACGAAUGAUCAUUCUGACAGGGUUUAAGAAAAACAUUUCUGUCAUUCCAUGGAUGGAUAUGUCCAAAUAGCUAACAAAAUGUGCACACAAAUUAAAUUUUAAAUGAGGAAAGCAGAUUCGAAUGCGCUAAACCAUCAUUUAUAGAAUUAGAUCAAGCUUCAAUAAAUCAAUCUGUUUUGAAUUGAGAAAU